This 484-nucleotide ribosomal RNA is filed under the name uncultured bacterium. RNAcentral's name for it is "partial 16S ribosomal RNA". It matches the Rfam family "Bacterial small subunit ribosomal RNA", at positions 30 to 507 of the family's 1533-position model. The record is from RNAcentral.
AUUGAACGCUGGCGGCAGGCCUAACACAUGCAAGUCGAGCGGAUGAAGGGAGCUUUCUCCUGGAUUCAGCGGCGGACGGGUGAGUAAUGCCUAGGAAUCUGCCUGGUAGUGGGGGAUAACGUCCGGAAACGGGCGCUAAUACCGCAUACGUCCUGAGGGAGAAAGUGGGGGAUCUUCGGACCUCACGCGAUCAGAUGAGCCUAGGUCGGAUUAGCUAGUUGGUGGGGUAAGGGCCUACCAAGGCGACGAUCCGUAACUGGUCUGAGAGGAUGAUCAGUCACACUGGAACUGAGACACGGUCCAGACUCCUACGGGAGGCAGCAGUGGGGAAUAUUCCACAAUGGGCGAAAGCCUGAUCCAGCCACGCCGCGUGUGUGAAGAAGGUCUUCGGAUUGUAAAGCUCUUUUAGUUGGGAGGAAGGGAAGUAAGUUAAUCCCUUGCUGUUUUGACGUUACCAACAGAAUAAGCACCGGCUAACUUCGUG